This 459-nucleotide ribosomal RNA is filed under the name uncultured bacterium. RNAcentral's name for it is "partial 16S ribosomal RNA". It matches the Rfam family "Bacterial small subunit ribosomal RNA", at positions 338 to 795 of the family's 1533-position model. The record is from RNAcentral.
CCUACGGGUGGCAGCAGUGAGGAAUAUUGGUCAAUGGGCGGAAGCCUGAACCAGCCAAGUAGCGUGCGGGAUGAAGGCCCUACGGGUCGUAAACCGCUUUUGCACGGGGAUAACACCCUCCACUUGUGGAGGUCUGCAGGUACCGUGCGAAUAAGGGCCGGCUAAUUCCGUGCCAGCAGCCGCGGUAAUACGGAAGGCCCGAGCGUUAUCCGGAUUCAUUGGGCUUAAGGGGAGCGUAGGCGGGCGUUCAAGUCAGCGGUAAAAUCGCGCGGCUCAACCGCGCCCCGCAGUUGAAACUGGACGCCUUGAGUUCACAACAGGCAGGCGGAAUUCGUGGUGUAGCGGUGAAAUGCAUAGAUAUCACGAGGAACCCCGAUUGCGAAGGCGGCCUGCUGGACUGAAACUGACGUUGAGGCUCGAAAGCGUGGGGAGCAAACAGGAUUAGAUACCCCAGUAGUC